Long non-coding RNA from Lactuca sativa (garden lettuce), 904 nucleotides. RefSeq lists it as uncharacterized. NCBI's taxonomy places the organism in Eukaryota, Viridiplantae, Streptophyta, Magnoliopsida, Asterales, Asteraceae. The record is from RefSeq and is a predicted model, not a curated record.
UCGAAAAAUCAUUGCAAUGGCAGGUUUACAAAUUUAAUUGGAACAGAGUAAAUCUAAACAAUAAGGUGAUAAUCACUCUCACUCGAAUUUGUUUUCGUUUAUUUUAAAGUUUUUAAAUUGCUUCUGUUAACUUAUUCUGGUGGUUUCUCUCAAUUUCGGCCAACAUCUUCGAUUUGUCGUCCCCUGCUUCGAUUCCAUCGAUUUCUGUUGAUUCCGACGACUUCCCUUCUUCAUAAGAGGUUGUACGUUGGACAUAAUGCAAAUGUUGCACAACAUCAGUGAAGGUUCGUAUAUUUAUUUUCUAUAAUACCAAUGUAUUGAUAAGUAUAUGUAACAAGGGUAAAAAUGUCUUUUUCUUACGCCCAAUGUGAGAUGAUAUGGAGGGAGUGGAUAAAACAGAUAUGUAUUCUUUUUCUUACCAUCCUACUUUCUCAACAUUUAUGUAUUCUCAUUUGUGUUGUGUUUGUUGAUGAUUUACUGGUGCGGAUUCUGUUUGUUAUUCUGGGAACCCUAGUACUUCAACUCCAACACCACCAGCAACUGGAAGUGGAGCCCCAACCCCAAGAACCGGAACCCCAACACCCGGAACCGGAACCGGAACCGAAACCGGAACUGGAACCCCGACACCAGGAACCGGAACUGGAACUGGAACUCCAGGGAUUGGAACAAGAACCGGAACUCCAGGGACCGGAACCGGAGCUAAACUUGAUUUUUUUUCAUUGGUUUGUUUCGAUUUCUAAUAUCAACUCUUUUGUCCUUAGCUAUAUCAUUUUUUUUUUCAAAAGUAGUUCACAAUAGUUGCUUCAAGUUCAUCCCUGUUAUUAAGUGCAUAGCAGCUUGCCUUUUGGUAUGAUGGAAUAAAGGAAGGAUAGAAUUUUUCAUUCCAUUGCUAGAUGGAAUUGAA